AGAGUUUGAUCCUGGCUCAGGAUGAACGCUAGCGGCAGGCCUAAUACAUGCAAGUCGAACGGUGAUAGCAAUAUCAUAGUGGCGCACGGGUGCGUAACACGUAUGCAACCUACCUUAUACUGAGGGAUAGCCUUUCGAAAGGGAGAUUAAUACCUCAUAACACAUUGAACUGGCAUCAGUUUAUUGUUAAAGAUUUAUUGGUAUAAGAUGGGCAUGCGUCCAAUUAGUUAGUUGGCGAGGUAACGGCUCACCAAGACGAUGAUUGGUAGGGGAACUGAGAGGUUAAUCCCCCACACUGGCACUGAGAUACGGGCCAGACUCCUACGGGAGGCAGCAGUAGGGAGUAUUGGGCAAUGGAGGCAACUCUGACCCAGCCAUGCCGCGUGCAGGAAGAAGGCGUUAUGCGUUGUAAACUGCUUUUAUAUAGGAAGAAAUAGACCUUGCGAGGUAAGUUGACGGUACUAUAUGAAUAAGCACCGGCUAACUCCGUGCCAGCAGCCGCGGUAAUACGGAGGGUGCAAGCGUUGUCCGGAUUUAUUGGGUUUAAAGGGUGCGUAGGCGGUUUAUUAAGUCAGUGGUGAAAGACGGUCGCUCAACGAUUGCAGUGCCAUUGAUACUGGUAGACUUGAGUGGGAUUGAGGUAGCUGGAAUGG
This 653-nucleotide ribosomal RNA is filed under the name uncultured bacterium. RNAcentral's name for it is "bacterial SSU rRNA". It matches the Rfam family "Bacterial small subunit ribosomal RNA", at positions 8 to 669 of the family's 1533-position model. The record is from RNAcentral.